This 410-nucleotide ribosomal RNA is filed under the name uncultured bacterium. RNAcentral's name for it is "bacterial SSU rRNA". It matches the Rfam family "Bacterial small subunit ribosomal RNA", at positions 370 to 772 of the family's 1533-position model. The record is from RNAcentral.
AAUGGGGGAAACCCUGAUCCAGCCAUACCGCGUGAGUGAAGAAGGCCUUCGGGUUGUAAAGCUCUUUCAGCCGGAAAGAAAUCGUGCAGGCUAAUACCCUGUAUGGAUGACGGUACCGGAAGAAGAAGCACCGGCUAACUACGUGCCAGCAGCCGCGGUAAUACGUAGGGUGCGAGCGUUAAUCGGAAUUACUGGGCGUAAAGCGUGCGCAGGCGGUUUGGUAAGACAGGCGUGAAAUCCCCGGGCUUAACCUGGGAACUGCGCUUGUGACUGCCAGGCUAGAGUACGGCAGAGGGGGGUGGAAUUCCACGUGUAGCAGUGAAAUGCGUAGAGAUGUGGAGGAACACCAAUGGCGAAGGCAAUCCCCUGGGCCUGUACUGACGCUCAUGCACGAAAGCGUGGGGAGCAAA